This 1533-nucleotide ribosomal RNA is filed under the name uncultured prokaryote. RNAcentral's name for it is "partial 16S ribosomal RNA". It matches the Rfam family "Bacterial small subunit ribosomal RNA". The record is from RNAcentral.
AAAUUGAAGAGUUUGAUCAUGGCUCAGAUUGAACGUUGGCGGCAGGCCUAAGACAUGCAAGUCGAGCGGUAACAGAUCUAGCUUGCUAGAUGCUGACGAGCGGCGGACGGGUGAGUAACGCGUAGGAAUCUAUCCAGUAGCGGGGGAUGCCCGGGGAAGAUUAAUACCGCAUACGCCCCACGGGGGAAAGGCCGGGAUCUUCGGACCGGUCACUAUUGGAGGAGCCUGCGUUAGAUUAGCUAGUUGGUAGGGUAAAAGCCUACCAAGGCAACGAUCUAUAGCUGUUCUGAGAGGAAGAUCAGCCACACUGGAACUGAGACACGGUCCAGACUCCUACGGGAGGCAGCAGUCGGGAAUAUUGUGCAAUGGGGGAAACCCUGAUGCAGCCAUGCCGCGUGUGUGAAGAAGGCCUUCGGGUUGUAAAGCACUUUCAGUUGUGAGGAAAGGGUAGCGGUUAAUACCCGUUAUCUGUGACGUUAGCAACAGAAGAAGCACCGGCUAACUCCGUGCCAGCAGCCGCGGUAAUACGGAGGGUGCGAGCGUUGAUCGGAAUUACUGGGCGUAAAGCGCACGCAGGCGGUUUGUUAAGCUAGAUGUGAAAGCCCCGGGCUCAACCUGGGAAUAGCAUUUAGAACUGGCAGGCUAGAGUCUUGGAGAGGGGAGUGGAAUUCCAGGUGUAGCGGUGAAAUGCGUAGAUAUCUGGAGGAACAUCAGUGGCGAAGGCGACUCCCUGGCCAAAGACUGACGCUCAUGUGCGAAAGUGUGGGUAGCGAACAGGCUUACAUACCCUGGUCGUCCACACCGUAAACGAUGUCUCCUAGCUGUUUGUGGAUUUAAUCCGUGAGUAGCUAAGCUAACGCGAUAAGUAGACCGCCUGGGGAGUACGGCCGCAAGGUUAAAACUCAAAUGAAUUGACGGGGGCCCGCACAAGCGGUGGAGCAUGUGGUUUAAUUCGAUGCAACGCGAAGAACCUUACCUACUCUUGACAUACAAGGAACAUUGCAGAGAUGCAUUGGUGCCUUCGGGAACAUUGAGACAGGUGCUGCAUGGCUGUCGUCAGCUCGUGUCGUGAGAUGUUGGGUUAAGUCCCGCAACGAGCGCAACCCUUGUCCUUAGUUGCCAUCCUUUAGUUGGGCACUCUAAGGAGACUGCCGGCGACAAACCGGAUGAAGGUGAGGACGACGUCAAGUCAUCAUGGCCCUUACGAGUAGGGCUACACACGUGCUACAAUGGCGAGUACAGAGGGAAGCGAGACAGUGAUGUGGAGCGGACCCCUUAAAGCUCGUCGUAGUCCGGAUCGGAGUCUGCAACUCGACUCCGUGAAGUCGGAAUCGCUAGUAAUCGCAAAUCAGAAUGUUGCGGUGAAUACGUUCCCGGGCCUUGUACACACCGCCCGUCACACCAUGGGAGUGGGUUGCAAAAGAAGUAGUUAGUCUAACCUUCGGGAGGACGAUUACCACUUUGUGAAUCAUGACUGGGGUGAAGUCGUAACAAGGUAACCCUAGGGGAACCUGGGGUUGGAUCACCUCCUUA